GACGAACGCUGGCGGCGUGCUUAACACAUGCAAGUCGAACGGAAAGGCCCUGCUUUUGUGGGGUGCUCGAGUGGCGAACGGGUGAGUAACACGUGAGUAACCUGCCCUUGACUUUGGGAUAACUUCAGGAAACUGGGGCUAAUACCGGAUAGGAGCUCCUGCUGCAUGGUGGGGGUUGGAAAGUUUCGGCGGUUGGGGAUGGACUCGCGGCUUAUCAGCUUGUUGGUGGGGUAGUGGCUUACCAAGGCUUUGACGGGUAGCCGGCCUGAGAGGGUGACCGGCGACAUUGGGACUGAGAUACGGCCCAGACUCCUACGGGAGGCAGCAGUGGGGAAUAUUGCACAAUGGGCGGAAGCCUGAUGCAGAAACGCCGCGUGCGGGAUGACGGCCUUCGGGUUGUAAACCGAUUUCGCAUGUGACGAAGCGUGAGUGGCGGUAAUGGGUAAAGAAGCACCGGCUAACUACGUG
Molecule: ribosomal RNA, 468 nt
Filed under: uncultured bacterium
Lineage: Bacteria
Description: partial 16S ribosomal RNA
Rfam family: Bacterial small subunit ribosomal RNA
Source: RNAcentral